RNAcentral lists this ribosomal RNA (301 nucleotides) under uncultured bacterium. Its description in RNAcentral is "partial 16S ribosomal RNA". It matches the Rfam family "Bacterial small subunit ribosomal RNA", at positions 509 to 807 of the family's 1533-position model. The record is from RNAcentral.
CAGCAGCCGCGGUAAUACGUAGGUGGCAAGCGUUGUCCGGAAUUAUUAGGCGUAAAGGGCUCGCAGGCGGUUUCUUAAGUCUGAUGUGAAAGCCCCCGGCUCAACCGGGGAGGGUUAUUGGAAACUGGGAAACUUGAGUGCAGAAGAGGAGAGUGGAAUUCCACGUGUAGCGGUGAAAUGCGUAGAGAUGUGGAGGAACACCAGUGGCGAAGGCGACUCUCUGGUCUGUAACUGACGCUGAGGAGCGAAAGCGUGGGGAGCGAACAGGAUUAGAUACCCCAGUAGUCCCUGUCUCUUAUAC